This 484-nucleotide ribosomal RNA is filed under the name uncultured bacterium. RNAcentral describes it as "partial 16S ribosomal RNA". It matches the Rfam family "Bacterial small subunit ribosomal RNA", at positions 30 to 507 of the family's 1533-position model. The record is from RNAcentral.
AUUGAACGCUGGCGGCAGGCCUAACACAUGCAAGUCGAGCGGAUGCAGGGAGCUUGCUCCUGGAUUCAGCGGCGGACGGGUGAGUAAUGCCUAGGAAUCUGCCUGGUAGUGGGGGAUAACGUCCGGACACGGGCGCUAAUACCGCAUACGUCCAGAGGGAGAACGUGGGGGAUCUUCGGACCUCACGCUAUCAGAUGAGCCUAGGUCGGAUUAGCUAGUUGGUGGGGUAAAGGCCUACCAAGGCGACGAUCCGUAACUGGUCUGAGAGGAUGAUCAGUCACACUGGAACUGAGACACGGUCCAGACUCCUACGGGAGGCAGCAGUGGGGAAUAUUGGACAAUGGGCGAAAGCCUGAUCCAGCCAUGCCGCGUGUGUGAAGAAGGUCUUCGGAUUGUAAAGCACUUUAAGUUGGGAGGAAGGGCAGUAAGUUAAUACCUUGCUGUUUUGACGGUACCAACAGAAUAAGCACCGGCUAACUUCGUG